GGGGCCGAUCUGGCUUCGACGUGGGUCACGAAACAGAGCAGGGCAUGUCGAGCACCAGUUCGCUCGUAAAUCCACUGGAAAACUAUAAACGCCAACGAUGAGCGUUUCGCUCUAGCCGCUUAAUAACCGGUCUUUAGAGCCGCUGCACUAGUUUGUCUUUGGGCUAGGUUAGGUUUCUAACAGCAGCGUCAUAUUACAAAGAAUCGGUCUGGUUCGGGCCACACGAACUUAGACCUAAAACGAUGUGGAUCGCCAAAAGAUGGCCUGUCGAAUGGCAUGGCUUGCGGCUAAAACUUAAAAUUAUUCGACUACACAUGUAGAACUGCCUGCGGAGGGCUUGCGGACGGGGGUUCAAUUCCCCCCGGCUCCACCA
Molecule: transfer-messenger RNA, 373 nt
Filed under: Burkholderiales
Lineage: Bacteria; Pseudomonadati; Pseudomonadota; Betaproteobacteria
Also listed under: 1 other name
Description: Paenalcaligenes sp012518715 Standard tmRNA
Rfam family: transfer-messenger RNA
About the family: Bacterial tmRNA, also known as 10Sa RNA or SsrA, is named for its dual tRNA and mRNA-like properties.
Source: RNAcentral